Molecule: long non-coding RNA, 307 nt
Organism: Stylophora pistillata
Lineage: Eukaryota; Metazoa; Cnidaria; Anthozoa; Scleractinia; Pocilloporidae
Source: RefSeq, a predicted model, not a curated record
CUUUCUUGUUUGAUCAUAAGUUACUCAUUCUCGUCUGAGAAGAAGAAUUGGAAAGUCUUACAGAGUCCUGUGACAAGGUGUGCAAACAAACACAAGAUAAACAUGAAGAUCUCCGGCACUGUUUUGCUGUUUGGUAUCGUGGCUUUGAGUCUAAUUGAAUGCUUCGUAACAGCUGAAGAAAAGGAGGCCGCCGAGGGAAAAGGAUACCAACAACUUCAAGGUGAUGCCUCCCGAGGAAGACUAGAAAGAGGUGAAGAAUUGCCGGCCGAAAACGGAAAAAAAUUCCUCAGACGAUCAAAAGAAGGUG